RNAcentral lists this ribosomal RNA (223 nucleotides) under uncultured bacterium. Its description in RNAcentral is "partial 16S ribosomal RNA". It matches the Rfam family "Bacterial small subunit ribosomal RNA", at positions 108 to 334 of the family's 1533-position model. The record is from RNAcentral.
GGUAAGUGUAUGGGGAUCUGCCUGACUGCGGGGGAUAACUACUGGAAACGGGGGCUAAUACCGCAUAAUGUCUGCGGACCAAAGCGGGGGACCUCCGGGCCUCUUGCCAUCGGAUGUGCCCAGAUGGGAUUAGCUAGUAGGUGGGGUAACGGCUCACCUAGGCGACGAUCCCUAGCUGGUCUGAGAGGAUGACCAGCCACACUGGAACUGAGACACGGUCCAG